RNAcentral lists this long non-coding RNA (2412 nucleotides) under Capra hircus (goat). RNAcentral's name for it is "lncRNA (ENSCHIG00000001233.1)". The record is from RNAcentral. Lineage: Eukaryota; Metazoa; Chordata; Mammalia; Artiodactyla; Bovidae.
GAAGAGUCGGAGAUGGUGGAAAUCUAGGCUAGGUGUUGUGAAGAACAAGAGCCAAGUUUGAUGAGGCCAUCAGGGACCAGCAACAGAAACAUGAGGUCAGUCCAGCCUGGGGCAGUUUCUCUCCAAGAGAAGAUGGAGGAAGGACAGCUAAGUGACUGGAAAUUUGACUUGCCUUCAUGUCAAGAGAUACCUGCACCUUUUGGAAACAACAAACCCUUUGUGGUACCUCAGUGGGAUCAUCAGUGGGGCAUGGCCCUCUCCUGGAUGACGUUCUCAUGCUGCUUUGCAAAGAGAAUGUAUAACAGGAUUUGUACAGGGCUGCAAAUGCUGAAGAUGACAGUUAAGGAAGAUGAAAACUCCAUAAAAGGGCGUUGCUGUGUUCCCUCCCUGUUGUUUGACCUGAGGCCAGACUAUGGUGGCGAUAAUGAAGAUAAUGGUGACCUCCUUCAAAAGGGCCCAUGCUUGCCCUGCCACGCUCCGUGCCCCCAGUGCUGCCACAGGCCACCACCGACCCACGCCUCUGCCGGAGACUCCUGGGCAAAUCUGGGUCAGUCUCUUGUGGGGUCACUGCUCCUUUCUCCUGGGUACUGGUGCAUACAAAGUUCUGUUUGUGCCCUCCCAGAGUCUGUUUUCCAGUCCUGUGUAAGUUCUGGCAGCUCUAUGGUGGGUUAAUGGCAACCUCCUCCAGGAAGGCUUAUGCCAGCCCCAGGUCUGCUGCACCCAGAGCCCCUGCCCCCGCAGCAGUCCACUGCUCACCCGUACCUCCUCAGGAGACACCCAAACACAGUUCUGUCUCCGUCUCUGUGGGGUCUCUGGGUCCUGGUGCAUACAAGUACGUUUGAGCCUUCUGAGAAUCUCUGGCGGCUAUGGGGUUUGAUUCUAAAUGCAAUUUCGCCCCUCCUACCAUCUUACUGGGGCUUCUCCUUUGCCCUUGGAUGUGGGCUAUCUCCUCAAAGUCAUUCCAGCACUGCAUAGCCACCAGUCAAGUGCUUCAACCUGAGCCCCAUGCAAAUAUCUCAAACACAGAUAAAAGAUUUUAAUAAAAUAUGAGUAAAUUGACUCUCACUUCAGUUCAGUCGCUCAGUCGUGUCUGACUCUUUGUGACCCCAUGAAUCGCAGCAUGCCAGGCCUCCCUGUCCAUCACCAACUCCUGGAGUUCACUCAGAUUCAUGUCCAUCGAGGCAGUGAUGCCAUCCAGCCAUCUCAUCCUCUGUCGUCCCCUUCUCCUCCUGCCCCCAAUCCCUCUCAGCAUCAAAGUCUUUUCCAAUGAGUCAACUCUGUGCAUGAGGUGGCCAAAGUACUGGAGUUUCAGCUUUAGCAUCAUUCCUUCCAAAGAAAUCCUAGGGCUGAUCUCCUUCAGAAUGGACUGGUUGAAUCUCCUUGCAGUCUAAGGGACUCUCAAGAGUCUUCUCCAACACCACAGUUCAAAAGCAUCAAUUCUUUGGUGCUCAGCCUUCUUCACAGUCCAACUCUCACAUCCAUACAUGACCACUGGAAAAACCAUAGCCUUGAAGCAACUGACAAACAACUAAUCUCAAAAAUAUACAAGCAACUUAUGCAGCUCAAUUCCAGAAAAAUAACCCAAUCAAAAAAUGGGCCAAAGAACUAAAUAGACAUUUCUCCAAAGAAGACAUACGGAUGGCUAACAAACACAUGAAAAGAUGCUCAACAUCACUCACUAUUAGAGAAAUGCAAGUCAAAACCACAAUGAGGUACCACUUCACACCAGUCAGAAUGGCUGCGAUCCAAAAAUCUGCAAGCAAUAAAUGCUGGAGAGGGUGUGGAGAAAAGGGAACCCUCCUAUACUGUUGGUGGGAAUGCAAACUAGUACAGCCACUAUGGAGAACAGUGUGGAGAUUCCUUAAAAAAUUGCAAGUAGAACUGCCAUAUGACCCAGCAAUCCCACUGCUGGGCAUACACACCGAGGAAACCAGAAUUGAAAGAGACACAUGUACCCCAAUGUUCAUCACAGCACUGUUUAUAAUAGCCAGGACAUGGAAACAACCUAGAUGUCCAUCAGCAGAUGAAUGGAUAAGAAAGCUGUGGUAGAUAUACACAAUGGAGUAUUACUCAGCCGUUAAAAAGAAUUCAUUUGAAUCAGUUCUGAUGAGAUGGAUGAAACCGGAGCCGAUUAUACAGAGUGAAGUAAGCCAGAAAGAAAAACACCAAUACAGUAUACUAACACAUAUAUAUGGAAUUUAGAAAGAUGGCAAUGAUGACCCUGUAUGCAAGACAGCAAAAAAGACACAGAUGUGUAUAACGGACUUUUGGACUCAGAGGGAGAAGGAGAGGGUGGGAUGAUUUGGGAGAAUGGCAUUGUAACAUGUAUACUAUCAUGUAAGAAUCGAAUCGCCAGUCUAUGUCUGAUGCAGGAUACAGCAUGCUUGGGGCUGGUGCACGGUGAUGACCCAG